This is a long non-coding RNA of Juglans regia (Persian walnut), 571 nucleotides long. RefSeq lists it as uncharacterized. NCBI's taxonomy places the organism in Eukaryota, Viridiplantae, Streptophyta, Magnoliopsida, Fagales, Juglandaceae. The transcript is spliced from 2 exons. The record is from RefSeq and is a predicted model, not a curated record.
CAACUUGAAAGUUGAAACUCAUUCUCUCCUCCAUUCUCAGACGAUGAUGUUCACUCCUUCAUUCUCCUCUUCUCCCCAUCGUCUCGUGCCUAGAAGCCCAUUAAAGCUUCUGAACCCUAACCCCAUCAUCUCCCUGAUUUUUCAUCAAAGCUAACGCUAAUUUUCUCAAGCACCGCUGCAGAUAACAGUGCAUCUAUGACUUGUUUGAUUCAAAUCUGAGAGAGAGAGGAUGAGAUCGAGAAAAGGGAGAUGGUGCUUCACAAGAGAAAUGAUGAGAUUAAGAAGAGGGAGUUGGCUAUCCACUAUGAUCAAAUCGAUCUUCUGAUGAAACAAGUAGAAGUGCAGCGUUCACGCACACUACUUCAUGUGUAUUGGGGAUUUGCCAUAGUUAUUUCAUGUUAUUUAAUAGGAUCUAAGUGAAUUCCCAAUGUUGGUUUGCUUUUGUAAAUAAAACUCUACCAACCGGACAGGUUAUGUAAUGGAUGGGUAAGGUUAUCGAAAGAAACUGUUAGGUUAUGUAAGUUGUGUUGUUUGCUGGUUGAAAUCUAAUGGAAAUUUAUUUUAAAAAUAA